CCCUUAGAUGUUCUGGGCUGCACGCGCGCUACACUGAUGCGUUCAACGAGUUUUUAGCUUAUCUGAUAAGAUUGGCUAAUCUUCUGAAAACGCAUCGUGAUGGGGAUAGAUUAUUGCAAUUAUUAAUCUUCAACGAGGAAUGCCUAGUAAGCGCAAGUCAUCAGCUUGCGUUGAUUACGUCCCUGCCCUUUGUACACACCGCCCGUCGCUCCUACCGAUUGAAUGGUCCGGUGAAGCGUUCGGACCGUGGCCUUUGGACGGUUCGCCGUCUGUUGGCUGCGGGAAGUUCGUUAAACCUUAUCAUUUAGAGGAAGGAGAAGUCGUAACA
RNAcentral lists this ribosomal RNA (328 nucleotides) under uncultured eukaryote. RNAcentral's name for it is "partial 18S ribosomal RNA". It matches the Rfam family "Eukaryotic small subunit ribosomal RNA", at positions 1470 to 1796 of the family's 1831-position model. The record is from RNAcentral.